AGCUCCAAUAGCGUAUAUUAAAGUUGUUGCGGUUAAAAGCUCGUAGUUGGAUUUCUGCCAAUGACAACCGGUCCGCUUUUCGAGCGUGUAUCUGGUGCGGCUUUGGCAUCCUUGUGAAUGGCGUUGUUGUGCUUGAUUGCACGAUGCGUUUUUCACAACUUUUACUUUGAGGAAAAUAGAGUGUUCACGGCAGGCAAGCGCCUUGAAUAUAUUAGCAUGGAAUAAUAACAUAAGACUUCGGUUUUAUUUGUUGGCUUCUAGAGCUGAAGUAAUGAUUAAUAGGGAUAAUUGGGGGCAUUUGUAUUAUCGCGUCAGAGGUGGAAUUCUUGGAUUGCGCUACGACAAACUACUGCGAAAGCAUUUGCCAAGGAUGUUUUCA
Molecule: ribosomal RNA, 379 nt
Filed under: uncultured eukaryote
Lineage: Eukaryota
Description: SSU rRNA
Rfam family: Eukaryotic small subunit ribosomal RNA
Source: RNAcentral